This is a long non-coding RNA of Octopus bimaculoides (California two-spot octopus), 252 nucleotides long. The record is from RefSeq and is a predicted model, not a curated record. NCBI's taxonomy places the organism in Eukaryota, Metazoa, Mollusca, Cephalopoda, Octopoda, Octopodidae.
GAAAGAUCCGGUUUCAUGUGAAGAAACUAAAAGUGAAACUGUGUGCGUGUGGUGGUCGUUGUUGUUGUUGCUGCCUCCUACUGCUGCUGAUGCUGACGAUGACGACGACGUCGACAAUGAUAAUGAUAAUGAUGAUGAUGAUGACGACGACGACAGCCACGGUGACGAUGAUGAUGACGACGACGAUGAUGAUUAUGAUGACGACGAUGACGAUGAUGAUGCUGAUAAUGAAGAUGACGACGACGACGAUGG